GGACAUUGUUAAACCUUUUGUAAUUGCAGUCAGCGUCAGAAAAAACUUAAUAGUUACAACUUUCAACAACGGAUCUCUUGGUUCUGGCAUCGAUGAAGAACGCAGCGAAAUGCGAUAAGUAGUGUGAAUUGCAGAAUUCAGUGAAUCAUCGAAUCUUUGAACGCACAUUGCGCCCCUUGGUAUUCCAUGGGGCAUGCCUGUUCGAGCGUCAUUUGUACCCUCAAGCUCUGCUUGGUGUUGGGCGUUUGUCUCCCCUGGGAGACUCGCCUCAAAACAAUUGGCAGCCGGCAUAUUGGUAUCGGAGCGCAGCACAAGUCGCGCUUCUGUCCAUGAAUGUCGGCGUCCAGCAAGACCAUUUUUCACUCUUGACCUCGGAUCAGGUAGGGAUACCCGCUGAAC
RNAcentral lists this ribosomal RNA (399 nucleotides) under Macrophoma sp. IK-2015. Its description in RNAcentral is "eukaryotic LSU rRNA". The stretch from base 58 to 211 matches the Rfam family "5.8S ribosomal RNA". The record is from RNAcentral. Lineage: Eukaryota; Fungi; Ascomycota; Dothideomycetes; Botryosphaeriales; Botryosphaeriaceae.